AAGUCGUAACAAGGUAACCGUAGGUGAACCUGCGGUUGGAUCAUUAACAAAAGUGCCAAGGUUCUGCCUUGACUAAGGAAAGAGUCGCAAGACUUGGACCACGACCUUUUGUGAACAGUUUAUUGUCUCUGGCAGAAUGGUUAACUUGACUAGUGGAAGUAUGAAGCUAGACAAGUCAACUUGCCUGUCAGUAAAUCAACCUUGAGUAUUAUCUAGUCUUAACUACUUGAAAAAGUAAACAACUUUUGACAAUGGAUCUCUUGGCUCUU
Molecule: unclassified non-coding RNA, 269 nt
Filed under: fungal sp.
Lineage: Eukaryota; Fungi
Description: partial internal transcribed spacer region
Rfam family: Eukaryotic small subunit ribosomal RNA (bases 1-46)
Source: RNAcentral